Ovis aries (sheep) is the source of this 72-nucleotide transfer RNA. It matches the Rfam family "tRNA". Rfam says of the family: Transfer RNA (tRNA) molecules are approximately 80 nucleotides in length. Their secondary structure includes four short double-helical elements and three loops (D, anti-codon, and T loops). Further hydrogen bonds mediate the characteristic L-shaped molecular structure. tRNAs have two regions of fundamental functional importance: the anti-codon, which is responsible for specific mRNA codon recognition, and the 3' end, to which the tRNAs corresponding amino acid is attached (by aminoacyl-tRNA synthetases). tRNAs cope with the degeneracy of the genetic code in two manners: having more than one tRNA (with a specific anti-codon) for a particular amino acid; and 'wobble' base-pairing, i.e. permitting non-standard base-pairing at the 3rd anti-codon position. Lineage: Eukaryota; Metazoa; Chordata; Mammalia; Artiodactyla; Bovidae. The record is from Rfam.
UCCCUGGUGGCUCAGUUGGUAAAGCAUCUGUCCACGGUGCAGGAAACCUAGGUUUGACCCCUGGCUUGGGAA